AGGGGUUUAGCUCCAGCGGUAGAGCGAGCGACUCCAAAUCGCUAGGUCGUGGGUUCGAAUCCCCCAGCCCCUGCCA
This 76-nucleotide transfer RNA is filed under the name Bdellovibrio sp. qaytius. RNAcentral describes it as "tRNA-Trp". It matches the Rfam family "tRNA". From Rfam's summary of the family: Transfer RNA (tRNA) molecules are approximately 80 nucleotides in length. Their secondary structure includes four short double-helical elements and three loops (D, anti-codon, and T loops). Further hydrogen bonds mediate the characteristic L-shaped molecular structure. tRNAs have two regions of fundamental functional importance: the anti-codon, which is responsible for specific mRNA codon recognition, and the 3' end, to which the tRNAs corresponding amino acid is attached (by aminoacyl-tRNA synthetases). tRNAs cope with the degeneracy of the genetic code in two manners: having more than one tRNA (with a specific anti-codon) for a particular amino acid; and 'wobble' base-pairing, i.e. permitting non-standard base-pairing at the 3rd anti-codon position. The record is from RNAcentral. RNAcentral also lists the same sequence under 1 other name. Lineage: Bacteria; Pseudomonadati; Bdellovibrionota; Bdellovibrionia; Bdellovibrionales; Pseudobdellovibrionaceae.